UAUGUAUGUACCGGACCGCCCACAGAGAUGGCUGGGCCCCGGAGUAGUUCCAGUGAGUGGGCCUCUCUUUCUCCUACUGUAUACUGAGAGAGACUUACUCAGUGAUGGAGUCUACAUACAAUUAAGUCCAACAUUAUUACAGGUCAGGUGGCCAGCUGCCCAUGCUUUUAUUUUUUCAAUGAAUAGAAUAUUUUCCAUACGAUCUUAAGAUUAGUUAAUAAUAAAAUAUAACACUGAGCUUUGGCUCUGCUGGCUUGUAAUUAGUCCAGUCCGCACUAUAUUAUACAAUUAGCUUUGGCUAUACAAUGUAAACAUAAUGCUAUAUAGGCUACGGCUGCAUAGCACCUGCAAAUUAUAGAUAACAAUGCUAUUAUUCAUUUUAUCAGCUGCAUCAGGUCCAUUCAAACUCGCUCCCCCAGAUUUACUUACUAAAAUACUAUUUAUACUAUGGCAUGCCCUCCCACCAUAUAUCCAAAGGAAUAUGCAUGUCAUGCUUUAACUGUUUGUUUAAAUUUAUGUUUAAUUUAUUUUGAUUGAAUUCCAAUGGUAGAGAAAGAAGUAAAAAACACUUUUACAAUUGACAGCAAUGCCAUUUUUAUUGGAAAGAACAUUAUAAGAUAAUCUUUGUAUAAGUUCCUCUUAUGGUUUAUGCCCCCUAAAGAUCUUACAUGAAACGACAAACCAUUCACUUUAAUGUACAAUUUCAUAAUCGUUUCCAUGGAAACUAAAGUGAGCUCUCACCCUGUUCGUCUUCAUAAAGGCACGUCUACAGUGACUUCAGGUGUCGUCGGCUCUGCUUACAGCACAGAUCACUUGAGCCCAACUCAGAAAUUGCUCUGCAAACCCUCUGAUACGUUCCCAAUAGAAGUGCAGCGUCUUCACUUUAAUGAGUAAAAAGCCAUCAACAAAGCCAGUCAGGAUGUUUCAGCCGUAGGAGAA
Long non-coding RNA from Sebastes umbrosus (honeycomb rockfish), 939 nucleotides. RefSeq lists it as uncharacterized. The record is from RefSeq and is a predicted model, not a curated record. Lineage: Eukaryota; Metazoa; Chordata; Actinopteri; Perciformes; Sebastidae. The transcript has 2 exons.